Molecule: long non-coding RNA, 806 nt
Filed under: Rattus norvegicus (Norway rat)
Lineage: Eukaryota; Metazoa; Chordata; Mammalia; Rodentia; Muridae
Description: long non-coding RNA NONRATT026666
Source: RNAcentral
GAGCCGCAACCUUGCCCAGCGAGCGGUUGGGUGUUCGCCAUCUUAGGAGGAUGUUCUCGUCCGUAGCGCACCUGGCGCGGGCGAACCCCUUCAACGCGCCACAUCUGCAGCUGGUGCACGAUGUGUCGGGUCCCCGCAGCCCCCCAGGUCCGCCCCGGCGUUCCCGCCACCUGGCUGCCGCCGCCGUGGAAGAGUACAGUUGUGAAUUUGGCUCCAUGAAGUAUUAUGCACUGUGUGGCUUUGGUGGGGUCUUAAGUUGUGGGCUGACACACACUGCUGUUGUUCCUCUGGAUUUAGUAAAAUGCCGCAUGCAGGAUUAGAAGUCUCCUUACCUAAAAGAGAAAGGAAGGUGAAAUAUUAGGAGGGAGAGAGGAAGGUGACGUAUACCAACCCUUCUAGUACCUGCAGGAAGAGUGAGAUAAGCUCCCUUACCCACAUGGCUCUUAGACAAUAGAUACCAGUGUGGACCCUCAGAAGUACAAGGGCAUAUUUAAUGGUUUCUCCAUUACAUUGAAAGAAGAUGGCGUUCGUGGUUUGGCUAAAGGAUGGGCCCCAACUUUGAUUGGCUAUUCCAUGCAAGGGCUCUGCAAAUUCGGCUUUUAUGAAGUCUUCAAAGCCUUAUAUAGCAACAUACUUGGUGAGGAGAACACCUAUCUGUGGCGUACAUCACUGUAUCUAGCUGCUUCUGCCAGUGCUGAGUUCUUUGCUGACAUUGCCCUGGCUCCUAUGGAAGCUGCUAAAGUUCGAAUUCAAACCCAGCCUGGCUAUGCCAACACACUGAGGGAAGCUGUCCCCAAAAUGUAUAA